This 1146-nucleotide long non-coding RNA is filed under the name Anas platyrhynchos platyrhynchos (common mallard). RNAcentral's name for it is "lncRNA (ENSAPLG00000025241.1)". The record is from RNAcentral. Lineage: Eukaryota; Metazoa; Chordata; Aves; Anseriformes; Anatidae.
AUAGAGGCUGGUACAUUUGUGGAAAGGAAAGCAGGUUGUGACACAGGGAUAUAAAAGAGACAGUCCUGAGUCAUCCAGCCCAGUCCUCUGACAUCAGCAGCAAACAAGUCAGGUAGGUCCUUUUCAUAAACUCAUCAAGCAUGCAACUGUUUGGCAGCCUUGUUGUCCAAAGAACUCUGUCCUGUUCUGAUAAAGCUGAAUGCAGUGCAAUCUAGUUUAUUUAGGGAUGGCAAACUGCUCAUGUAGCAUGGUUUGAGAGCUCCAGGAAAUUAAGAAGUCAGACGGAAGCAAAUUUGUACAGUGCAAAUGCAUCCUUCCACAAUUCUGCAUAUCACCACAACAGUUCUUAACGUGGAUUUUCUUAGCAAACAACAUAUGCAAAGAUAAUAACCACCCUGCUGAUACUGGCAGAUAUCCUCCUUUCUGAUGGACUCAGUUUCAUUCACAUGCCCAGCAGGGGGGAAAGGAUUAUUUUAGCAUACUUAUUUUCUUUCCUGGUUCACAUCAUUCGCUGAGUAUGUACAAAUCGGAAGAAUGCCAAAUUGUUUACAAAAGAUCUGAGGUGAUUUGAGCCAAAAGUAUCAGUCCAAGUGCCCUUAAACUUUAGGGGUUUUCUGAUGUGGCUUUGACUCCAAAAGCUGUGACUCAGCCCCGUCUCUGCACCAGAGUGAGCGCCAAAAAGAAUAUUAAGGACAAAAGCCCCGUUCUCAGUUGUACUAUGAGCUCCCAAUGAAUGCAAGACAUGAGAAAUCACCCUGACUCUGUCAGCGUAAAGCUUCCAAGUCACAGGUUCCUAUUCCCUGGAAAGAGCUGGAUAACCUGGAGUUUGGCACUUGUGACUCACCCAUGAGAUGAUGGAGAGGGAGGUAUUUCACAUGGUAUGCAUAGAAACCACCCUUCUAGGCCAGCUGAAAAGGAACAGUUUUCCAUUGCAAGAAAGACAGCUUCAUGGGGACAGAAAAGAAGGGGAGUAAGAGUUAACAUGGCCUCAAAGCAUGACCAAGAGGAGACCAAAAUCACAGACUACAGUUCUUGCUCUAAGAACUGCUUACACUUCUACUGAUGAGAGUUUAAUGGAAAGUACAUUGACCUAGCCUAACUGCUCCUGUUCCCAUGCUUGUUAAAAAUAAAUAAAAUAAAAUAAAG